RNAcentral lists this small nuclear RNA (20 nucleotides) under Arabidopsis thaliana (thale cress). Its description in RNAcentral is "snRNA_05767". Lineage: Eukaryota; Viridiplantae; Streptophyta; Magnoliopsida; Brassicales; Brassicaceae. The record is from RNAcentral.
UCUCGAAUCUUCGAUCCUGC